Molecule: ribosomal RNA, 428 nt
Filed under: uncultured bacterium
Lineage: Bacteria
Description: bacterial SSU rRNA
Rfam family: Bacterial small subunit ribosomal RNA
Source: RNAcentral
AGGGAAUCUUCCACAAUGGGCGCAAGCCUGAUGGAGCAACACCGCGUGAGUGAAGAAGGGUUUCGGCUCGUAAAGCUCUGUUGUUGGAGAAGAACGUUCGUGAGAGUAACUGUUCAAGCNGUGUAGGUAUCCAACCAGAAAGUCACGGCUAACUACCUGCCGGCAGCCGCGGUAAUACGUAGGUGGCAAGCGUUAGCCGGAUUUAUUGGGCGUAAAGCGAGCGCAGGCGGUUGCUUAGGUCUGAUGUGAAAGCCUUCGGCUUAACCGAAGAAGUGCAUCGGAAACCGGGCGACUUGAGUGCAGAAGAGGACAGUGGAACUCCAUGUGUAGCGGUGGAAUGCGUAGAUAUAUGGAAGAACACCAGUGGCGAAGGCGGCUGUCUGGUCUGCAACUGACGCUGAGGCUCGAAAGCAUGGGUAGCGAACAGG